This 74-nucleotide transfer RNA is filed under the name Yarrowia lipolytica CLIB122. RNAcentral's name for it is "tRNA YALI0_A11693r". It matches the Rfam family "tRNA". From Rfam's summary of the family: Transfer RNA (tRNA) molecules are approximately 80 nucleotides in length. Lineage: Eukaryota; Fungi; Ascomycota; Dipodascomycetes; Dipodascales. The record is from RNAcentral.
GGUUGUGUAGUGUAGCGGUUAUCACCUUGGAUUCUGACUUUCCAAUAACCCCGGUUCGAUUCCGGGCACGACCU